This 28-nucleotide non-coding RNA is filed under the name Homo sapiens (human). Lineage: Eukaryota; Metazoa; Chordata; Mammalia; Primates; Hominidae. The record is from RNAcentral.
UGGAAGGAGAGAAGAGGACCGUCGAGGU